Dipodomys ordii (Ord's kangaroo rat) is the source of this 70-nucleotide non-coding RNA. The record is from Rfam. Lineage: Eukaryota; Metazoa; Chordata; Mammalia; Rodentia; Heteromyidae.
GGGAAUGUGGCUUAGUGGUAGAGUGCUUGCCUAGCAUGCAUGAAGCCCUGAGUUCGACUCCUCAGUACCA